Long non-coding RNA from Aquila chrysaetos chrysaetos, 2759 nucleotides. RefSeq lists it as uncharacterized. The record is from RefSeq and is a predicted model, not a curated record. The transcript has 5 exons. Lineage: Eukaryota; Metazoa; Chordata; Aves; Accipitriformes; Accipitridae.
UGCAUGAAAAUAUUGGAACAAAUGCCCUGAGCGCUUGGACCGAAUUUAGCAUGAAAACGUGACUUCAGUGCUGUUGGCUGCUUUACUGUUGCAUCAAGUUGUUUGAACACCUUCUUGAAAAAUCAGUUAACCUGUGGAAAGGGAGCCAGCCAGAGACAGCUCUGAAACUACGCAUUUGAUCUGAAUACCUACCUAAUGCAAAGGUCUUGCAGAUCAGAGAGCUGAUGAUGAGGAUGACGGCUUCCAAGGUGUUUCAAAGAAAGAACCCUAAUCGCUGCUCCUGGGCUCAAUGGGAGAGAAGCCUGCCUUCUGCAGAGGUGUGAGUGAAGGAGCAGAAAAUGGAGGAGGGCUUGCUUUGUGUGGGGAAGAUUGAGAACUACUGACAGAAGACACUGCAUUUCAUCAAAGGGAGAGGAGUAGAUUUGAUUUCAGCAGGGAUACAGCCUGAAAACUGAAGGAAGAAACUAUUCCUAGUAGAAAGCAGCAUGUGUAACAGCGAUAACGGUAUGAAUCAGUCAUUUCCCUUCUCACUCCUCCAACUCCAUCUGCUGAUCACUCAUAUGAGAGCUGCUUCUGAGGAUUGUUGAAGAUGUGGAACAGUGAAAGCCUUCUUGUCAAGCCUCCAAGAGCAAAUAGCAGCAGAGAUGAGAUUUUGAUUACAUUAGUAAUAAUACCGUAUUGAUCUCAAAACACUUUACAAACAUUAACUAAUUAAGCUUCAAAACAGUGAAGUAAGUUUGCAUUAAUAAAGCCUAUUUAGCAGAUGAAGUGGAGAUAAACAAAGGGUAAGUAAAGUGACCAGAGUCAAGUGGUGAGUGAAGGUCAGAAAAAGGUGUUCUGACUUCUAGUCAUUCUGCCUUUCAUGUGAUCUCAUUGAGAAAAUUUUUGCAGUGAAGCUUGCAGCCAUUUCAAAUUGAAUCAUUUGGGACGUUUUAUCUCAAGCCUGAGCAUUUCUUACAAGAAUCAAGAUGAUAUAAAAGCUUACCAAAGUAAUAAACAUUUUUAGCCUCUCGGGUCCAGCUUUGAUUGACAAGGGGCCAUUUCUGAAAGCGAGGGCAGCGGGAGAGGCAGCAGUGGCCAUCGGGUUUUCUGUGUUGUGAGCCUUUCUUUUCUCAUUUGUGUUGCUCUGGUGGUGCUAGCUGGAUAGAAAACUGCCUUAACCUGCUAAAUGGGAAUUCACAUGGGCUUGACACUGAUGUCAUGCAUCUAUCCCACCCUUCUUAUGGGAGGAGUAAAGCCUUCUCAAGGGAUUGCUCUGCUCUGGUGAUCCCAGCCAGUUUGUGCAGCCUUGGGGGCUAUUAUAGAGUGGAAUGGCUUAGAGUCAGUGGAGCAACCCUGGCUUAAAACCAACAUAACAAAGUGGAGGAUCAGGCACACAGUAAGUGAAUCAUGCAGAGCAGUGCUGACCCAAACAGAGGAUGACGGCUUAGAACAAGUUCCUCAGAGACAUUAAGUUAUCCUUGGAAAGGCAGGUCUCAAAGCCAAGGCUUAUAGUUUCUUAAUGGAUUUCAUUAGGAAGAAAGGAAAGGAACUGGAAAAAGACGUGUAGCUUAAAAGGGAACAGCUUCAGCACAGUCUAAAAUUUGUUCCAUUUUUCAGUAAAAGCAGCCAAUCCUGCCUUGAAAUUCAUGUCCCUUCAAAGUUCAAGGAGGCCUGUAUUGUUGGCCUGCUCAGUCAGAACGCUCCAGCCACUUAUUGUAUGUGGAUUGCGCUCCAGGGACUGGCUGAAAAAAUAUGAUUUAGUGAAAGCUUGUACCCAAAACACAUCAUUGGCCUCUGAUCUCCGAACAUUUAAAUAUUUCAAGCUUACAAGCGGACGCUGUCACGAGGACAGACCCUGAUCCCUAGCUGAUUCUAGAACAUCUGUUGAGGCAUUUACCAAGUUAAUAGAUUAGCUAUGAGAAUCAGGCAGGUGUUUUUCACCAAAGCCAGAAAACAUCAAAAUCAGAUUGCCCUCCAAGUCUUUCAGCACAGGCAAUCGAGUUAGAAUGACUCAUAGAGUCUAACAGAUAAUAAAACACACAUAACAUUUGCUUUAAGGUACAGGUGGGGAUAUUUUGUACUGUGCUUAGGAGAAAGAAAAACUAACUCUAUUUGGGAAUAGAGUAAUUGAAUACAGAUGGGAGGAGGCAAAUGAAAGAAUUUAGCAAAUAUCUCAGUGGAAUAGCUAAUGGGAACGAGACAGAAUAGGAAAUUAAAAAUUAUUCGAAGCAGAUGGACCAUUCUUUGAGUUUUUUAAAAUUUAUUAGGGCUGCGAAAAAAAUGUGUCUGUUUAUUUUCCACGGCCAUGAAAUUAAUGACUUGGUGAGUUGUGCUUGUGCAAUUUUAUGACUGCCAUGUCAUUUGUCAUAAUUUGGGUGCUGUUUGAUAUGGAUUUAUGAAUAUUUCCUCCCCCCAACAUGAUUUAUGGAUGUUGGUCAUAUGUGAAUUAGACUGUCACCUUUAGUAUGAAAAAGUACAAAUGACAGAUUAUAAAAAAAAAAAAAAAAAAAGUGCUCAAGUCCUUAGUGCUGGAAAGCAGAGUUCACAAUCCCCUCCUCUGCUUCUUCAUUGGAAGUUUUUGUUUGGAGCUGACAAUUAAAUGUUUGGACUUGAGUCAAGCAUAUGGGAACAUUGAGAGGGCUUGAAUAGAUCUGAACUCAUCUGAACUUCACCUGUGAAGUUUGAGUCAUCCUUGUACUGUGCACUGAAGGAAAAAAAAAUAUAUACACUACUUGCCAUAGGAACAACUGAUUUACUGUACCACAGCGGCAAGGUGG